RNAcentral lists this ribosomal RNA (403 nucleotides) under bacterium. RNAcentral describes it as "partial 16S ribosomal RNA". It matches the Rfam family "Bacterial small subunit ribosomal RNA", at positions 355 to 776 of the family's 1533-position model. The record is from RNAcentral.
UGGGGAAUCUUGCACAAUGGGGGAAACCCUGAUGCAGCGACGCCGCGUGAGCGAUGAAGGUUUUCGAAUCGUAAAGCUCUGUCCUAUGGGAAGAUAAUGACGGUACCAUAGGAGGAAGCCCCGGCUAACUACGUGCCAGCAGCCGCGGUAAUACGUAGGGGGCGAGCGUUGUCCGGAAUUACUGGGCGUAAAGGGUUCGCAGGCGGCAUGACAAGUACGAUGUAAAAGGCGAAAGCUCAACUUUCGUAAGCAUCGGAAACUGUCAAGCUUGAGUGAAGGGAAGGCAAGUGGAAUUCCUAGUGUAGCGGUAGAAUGCGUAGAUAUUAGGAGGAAUACCGGUGGCGAGGGCAACUUGCUGGACUUCAACUGCCGCUGAGGAACGAAAGCGUGGGUAGCAAACAGG